UUAAUAAGCUAUGAAAAGCAUAUAUUUUGAAAAUAUAUAAAAGAAUUAAAUAUUCUAUUAAUU
Molecule: transfer RNA, 63 nt
Filed under: Triaenodes tardus
Lineage: Eukaryota; Metazoa; Arthropoda; Insecta; Trichoptera; Leptoceridae
Description: tRNA-Ser
Source: RNAcentral